This is a long non-coding RNA of Homo sapiens (human), 487 nucleotides long. RefSeq lists it as uncharacterized. The record is from RefSeq and is a predicted model, not a curated record. NCBI's taxonomy places the organism in Eukaryota, Metazoa, Chordata, Mammalia, Primates, Hominidae. The transcript has 3 exons.
CUGAAACCUCAUCUUGCCAGUCGAGUAAUUUUUUUCUCCUCUUCAAGGGUCUUCUCUCUCAUUAUAACUUGAAGAACCCCAAGAAUGCUUCAGACACUGGCAUCCAGCCAGCAGAAGAGGGAAAUGCCUGGAGGAUCCUCAUGUGAGAUCCUCGUGGGACUUCCACCAUAUCCUAUUGGCAGGAGUCACUCCCACGGCCAUACCUCAUUGCCAGGUAGGCUGGGAAAUGUGAUAUGACUCUGUGCCCAGGAAGAAGAGAAUGUGAAUUUUGGUUUGGAAAGAGACCUUUGCAGUCCAGUGAUCUAUGAACUACAAUUUAAGUCAUCGCUCCUCCCUCCUUUCCCAAGCACUGGGCACAAAAGUAAAACACAGUGCCAGACCUUGAGGGAUCCAAAAACACAUCUCAAUGUUCAAUCAUCAUGGAAGAAUGAAAAUUGUUCUACUAAACCAUGUGCCAGGCUGAGCGGGAGCUCCAGGGAGGAAAAAC